AAAGUCGUAACAAGGUCUCCGUAGGUGAACCUGCGGAGGGAUCAUUACCGAAUGGCUUCGGCCUUCAACCCUCAAACCCGUGGAAGCAAUCCGUGCUUCGGCGCUCCGGCGCCGCAUUUAUGCAAGACACAAGUCUUUUAUGUCUGAACAUGAGAAGAAUCAAAACUUUCAACAAAGGAUCUCUUGGCUCUC
This 192-nucleotide unclassified non-coding RNA is filed under the name Ascomycota sp. RNAcentral's name for it is "partial contains small subunit ribosomal RNA, internal transcribed spacer 1, and 5.8S ribosomal RNA". The stretch from base 1 to 47 matches the Rfam family "Eukaryotic small subunit ribosomal RNA", at positions 1785 to 1831 of the family's 1831-position model. The record is from RNAcentral. Lineage: Eukaryota; Fungi; Ascomycota.